RNAcentral lists this ribosomal RNA (497 nucleotides) under uncultured bacterium. RNAcentral's name for it is "partial 16S ribosomal RNA". It matches the Rfam family "Bacterial small subunit ribosomal RNA", at positions 28 to 507 of the family's 1533-position model. The record is from RNAcentral.
GACGAACGCUGGCGGCGUGCCUAAUACAUGCAAGUUGAGCGCUGAAGGUUGGUACUUGUACCAACUGGAUGAGCAGCGAACGGGUGAGUAACGCGUGGGGAAUCUGCCUUUGAGCGGGGGACAACAUUUGGAAACGAAUGCUAAUACCGCAUAAAAACUUUAAACACAAGUUUUAAGUUUGAAAGAUGCAAUUGCAUCACUCAAAGAUGAUCCCGCGUUGUAUUAGCUAGUUGGUGAGGUAAAGGCUCACCAAGGCGAUGAUACAUAGCCGACCUGAGAGGGUGAUCGGCCACAUUGGGAAUGAGACACGGCCCAAACUCCUACGGGAGGCAGCAGUAGGGAAUCUUCGGCGAUGGACGAAAGUCUGACCGAGCAACGCCGCGUGAGUGAAGAAGGUUUUCGGAUCGUAAAACUCUGUUGGUAGAGAAGAACGUUGGUGAGAGUGGAAAGCUCAUCAAGUGACGGUAACUACCCAGAAAGGGACGGCUAACUACGUG